AAAAUGCGAUAAGUAGUGUAAAUUGCAGAAUUUAGUAAAUUAUCAAAUCUUUAAACGCACAUUGCGCCCCUUAGUAUUCCAUAAGGCAUGCCUGUUCAAGCGUCAUUUGUACCUUCAAGCUCUACUUAGUGUUAGGUGUUUAUCUCGCUUUAUGCGCAGACUCGCCUUAAAGAUAUUAGUAGCUAGCAUUAUGGCCUAGAGCGCAGCAUAAUUUGCGCCUCUUGUUACAAAUGUUAGCAUCUAUAAAGCUUACAAUUUAACUCUUAACCUUAGAUUAGGUAGGGAUACCCGCUAAACUUAA
RNAcentral lists this unclassified non-coding RNA (301 nucleotides) under uncultured fungus. RNAcentral's name for it is "sequence contains ITS1". The stretch from base 1 to 105 matches the Rfam family "5.8S ribosomal RNA", at positions 50 to 154 of the family's 154-position model. Lineage: Eukaryota; Fungi. The record is from RNAcentral.